GAUGAAGAACGCAGCGAAAUGCGAUAAGUAGUGUGAAUUGCAGAAUUCAGUGAAUCAUCGAAUCUUUGAACGCACAUUGCGCCCCUUGGUAUUCCAUGGGGCAUGCCUGUUCGAGCGUCAUUUGUACCUUCAAGCUUUGCUUGGUGUUGGGUGUUUGUCUCGCCUCCGCGUGUAGACUCGCCUCAAAACAAUUGGCAGCCGGCGUAUUGAUUUCGGAGCGCAGUACAUCUCGCGCUUUGCACUCACAACGACGACGUCCAAAAGUACAUUUUUACACUCUUGACCUCGGAUCAGGUAGGGAUACCCGCUGAACUUAAGCAUAUCAAUAAGCGGAAGA
This 337-nucleotide unclassified non-coding RNA is filed under the name soil metagenome. Its description in RNAcentral is "partial contains 5.8S ribosomal RNA, internal transcribed spacer 2, and large subunit ribosomal RNA". The stretch from base 1 to 120 matches the Rfam family "5.8S ribosomal RNA", at positions 35 to 154 of the family's 154-position model. The record is from RNAcentral.